This 256-nucleotide ribosomal RNA is filed under the name uncultured bacterium. RNAcentral describes it as "partial 16S ribosomal RNA". It matches the Rfam family "Bacterial small subunit ribosomal RNA", at positions 524 to 776 of the family's 1533-position model. The record is from RNAcentral.
UACGUAGGGGGGCAAGCGUUUGUCCGGAUUUAUUGGGCGUAAAGAGCGUGUAGGCGGCCGUACAGGUCAGCUGUGAAAACUCGAGGCUCAACCUCGAGACGUCGGUUGAAACCGUACGGCUAGAGUCCGGAAGAGGAGAGUGGAAUUCCCCGGUGUAGCGGUGAAAUGCGCAGAUAUCGGGAAGAACACCCGUGGCGAAGGCGGCUCUCUGGGACGGUACUGACGCUCAUGCACGAAAGCGUGGGGAGCAAACAGG